Brassica rapa (field mustard) is the source of this 4481-nucleotide long non-coding RNA. RefSeq lists it as uncharacterized. NCBI's taxonomy places the organism in Eukaryota, Viridiplantae, Streptophyta, Magnoliopsida, Brassicales, Brassicaceae. The record is from RefSeq and is a predicted model, not a curated record.
CUCAAGUCUUUGAAAUGAUAGAAUAUCCAUCAUUGGCUGAAUGGAAAAGGCUGCCACUCGAUUUCAUUUUCCUCGUGGACGGUCUUAUAGUAUGUGGUGACAAAAUUUUAAAGUCAAACCUAAGUACGAUGAAAUGCUGAGGACUUCGCAUACUUCCUCGAUUUUCUUUGGGGCAUGGAGUCACUUCAUCAAGACUUUAUCGAGGUUGACACCACCACAACCUACUGUUUAUAUCCAUGAACCUCUCUCCAAGUUAUGGUGACUUAGACAACAAACCACUGCAUGUUAUGGCUUCCCUGCAACUAAUAGCUUUUGAAACAAUCGUUAUGCUUGUUGAAAGGAUUCCCAGACAAAAAAGAGGUCCAAACUCUUGUAAGAUCUUCACGGUUGUAAAUCAACAAUAACUCAUGGGGGUCAACAAAGGAACCCAAUCUGCUUUCAGGACAAUCUUCUAACAGAGAGACUUGAGGUAGACGCAAAGUAAAAGACAAAAAAUUUUGAUUUUUUUAGCUCGAAUAACAUGAACUUCGCCCAAGGAUUAAAAAUGAGAAGAGUGAUGUUCAACAAAAUUGGUUUAAAAGCUCAAUUGAUUCACAUAUACAAUCGUUGGUAGACGAAUAUAAAUUUACAAAUUUAAAAGGAGUGAUUUCAGGCAAGUUAUCAUCAUUAAAGUAAGGAUUUUUCACCUUCGUACCAACAAAUUUGAGUAACCAACGUCCAAAUUCUAAACCCCCUCUGCCCGCCUUCUGGCCUCCGUAAGCAAAGUAGAAGAAAAAAACAUUAUACAACAGCCGUAAAAAUUUAAGAAACAAGGAAGAAGGUGAAAUAUUUGAGUCUCAGCAGAACGAAACAAAAAAAAUAUAUGGUUAAUAAUGAUGAUACAAUGAUGCAUCAUAAAGAUGCACAUAUGCACUAAUCUGACAUAUUUGAUAAGAAUAUAACAUUUUGGCAAUGUCAAACAGUUUACAAUAAAAUAAGAAGUUUUUGUCUGCAUAAUGACUUAUUAUCGAAUGUAUUCCAUGUUGAUACAUCAAGUAAAACUGUCAUGUAAACAACAAAGUCAUAUGAUACAGUUUAUUUAAAUGACUUGUACACGGUUCCUCAAGUAGAUGUGCCCACCUAUGUAUCACAAAUCUACUAUGUGAAUGAGAUAUCAUCAAGAUCAAGUGAAAGCAAAGACGAUAAGGUUAUACUACAUCCCAUAGAUUUAGUAUGGUGUUCCUUGGUUUAGUCAUUUGUACAUCAUAUAAAAAUGGUGUACAACCUAUAUACAUGGUGUGCGCCCUUAAAACUAGAUGUACACCAAUUAAAAUUGUGAGAGAUUGAUAUUUUUGAAUUGUUACUCUUGUAGGAUGGGGCUGAUGAGUUCAAAAUGGACAAUGUUGAAGAAUAUAACCUUCUCAAUGGCUUCAAGGUGACAGAGUUUCGGAAUUUCAUGCGAUGACUUUGCAGCCGAGAAGGAGAACAAUAUGUCAGACGAUGACGUUGUAAUCAAGUAUGGGAUAAUAACCCCAUAGAUUUAGACAAAAACAAUUUGGUGCUUGCUAUUUGCAUACAUUUUACUAUUGCCACAAGAGGUUGUAUUUCACAUUACUAUUUAUUUCAUACAUUAAGUAAUUAAGCAUUAUUUUCAACUACAACUUAAAUAGGAGACACAUAAGCAUGCAACCUCUACAGGUAAGUGUACAUCACCCACACGUAAGCAUGCAUCUCAUACAACUAAGAAUUCAUCUCUUGUAUUGUCUAAAACUAUAAUCAUCCAUCCCCUACACAUAAGCAUGCACCCACAGCUAUUUUGAAAUAUUACGCGAGACCACCGGAGGUUGCUACUAAUGAGGAAGUACAUAGACAAAAAAAAAAGGCAAAUUAAAAAGGAAUUAUGUACCGAAACGAGUUUCUACAACAUGUGUAAUGUAUUUUUGGACCGCAUGCAACAUUUGCAUUAUGCAAUAAGCCCCAUCAUUUCUAACUGAUUUUGUUUUGGUUGCCAUCUCCUACCAUUUUAUCAACUUGUUUAAAGUACUUCUAAUAUUAGUCUAUGAAAAUUCUCAUGUAGUAUUUUCGAUAUUUAUUCUGCUUAAUUAUAUAUUUGUUGUCAACCAUAAACAAUACAUUUACAUGUAAAAUAAGAUUAAUCAUUCGAGGAAAAUGGUGGGUGAAGAAUUAAUGAAUAUUGUUGGAACAAUGAACUGAGAAAUUAAUGAAUAUAGUUAGAAUAAUGACUUAAUGUGAUAAAUAUAUGUUGCAUUAAUGUGUCCUACUUUUAUCCAAAACCUUACAAGCUCUAACAAAUAAGACCUACAGUUUCCUACUUAGUCUUCCAAAUUAAUGAAGUAGUCAAAAAAAUGUUGAAAUUGUUGUGGAGGAAACUUUUUGCACUACAAAAAAAAUCUACAUUGAUAGUAUAUUAUUAUAACACCUGAUACCGAACUGCUAUCUUAGAUGACUUAAAAAAAUUUGUAUUAUAUAAUAGAAUUUUUAGAUAAAUGCUAUGAUAGAGUAAAUGCUAUAAUAUCAUUAAGCGAAAACUAAUUUUCCCAAUGCUUGGAUAAAAUUAGACAAGCGCCAAAUAGGUAAAUAUUUCCCUCUUGUAAUAACAUUUUUGGAUACUUAAGUUAAGUUAGGAAAAAAUAAUAAUUAUUGCCGAGAUUUGAAAAAAAAGUCUCACUCUCUCCAGAAACAGAAAUCCUAUUAGAAAAAAAAAGAGUCACAGGAUACUCUGUUGCCAUCUCUGGCUUGCUCAUUUGUUUCUACCACUGGCUUCAUGUCAAUCCGAACUUUCAAUCAUAGCCUCCACCAUCUCUCUAGCUGCGGAUGAAGACCUAAUGACCUAAUAUCGGAGGGGGUGGUUUGGUAGAUAACAGUGUCAUCGAGUCAACGAGGAGACGCCCAGUGUAAUCUAUGGCAGCUCGUUCUUAUCUCCUUCUUCGAUGUGAUAUUCUUCCAUUGUUAUCUCAAAUUAUGAAAUUGGGGCUUGUUAUCCUUAUUUAAUUCAAUCGUCUUCUUUUAUCCUCGAUCGCUGUUGUGUUCUAUUGUUUCCACUAACCCAUGUAAUCAGGUGAUCUUUCUAUUGGCUAGAACCUGGUUUACUCUGGAUGAUCAAGUCUGGCUAUUUGUUAUGUUUCUUUAUAUCUAGGAGAUAAUACAACUAGAGACAUCAUGCUUGUAUAAACAGGCUGGUUUAAAUCCAUUGGCAUGUAUUUUUUUACAAGUUAUGAUUUUCUAACUACUAGUUAUGAACGUAUAGAAACUUUUGCGUCCUCAGUUGUGCUUCAUUUGUGCUGAUAUAUGCAAAUUCUUGUUAUUUUGAUGAUAGGCUACUUACCAACUUAUUUCACCUGCUUCACACAGCAUACUACAAUGAUCCUUAAACUAGGAAGAAGAAGAAGAACUUUGUAUGUGAUGCCUUUCAACUAGCAAAAGAGUAAGCUUGUCUUGUUCUAUCCGAGAUUAAGCUUGUCUUGUUUUGAUGUUGUUUAUAGUUUCUGCGUAAACUUGUCUUGUUUACAUGUUCUGUUUCUGUGUAAGCUUGUCUUGUUUACAUGUUCUGUUUCUGCGUAUACAUUUGCGUUGAUAUGCGAUUUUGUUGUUUAUUAACUUUUUCUAUCUGAAUUUGUGUUUGAAGAUUCAUCUGUUCAAGCUGAAGAAAAUAGAGGUGGAAAGGCUUUGUGUCAGAUUAUAAAGAGACUGAUCCAGCAUCCAUGUCUAAAAGGGACUCUCUUAGAAAAUUGAAACAGAAAAGAUCCGUCUGCAAUAAUCUUCACCAAGAGAAGCUAUACGAUCAAUCUCUAAUGAAGAUAGACGAGAAAUUAAGAUUCGAAGUUAGUUUUUUAAGACUUGGCAAGACUUAUGUUGUUACUUGUUAGUAUAAGACUUGUAUGCUGUUAGUGUGAGACUUGAAAGGAUUCUAUGUAAAAUUUAUGUUUUAUGAGCUUAAUGCAAUGUAUAUUUGAGUUAACAAAAGAAUGAUUUUAUAAAGGUUAUGUUUAAAAAUCGAAUUAUCAUUUAUAUUUAUAAACUACAUAGUUAUAUAAAUUUUAGAGUUAUAUAUAAAUAUAGGGUUUAAACCCCUAAACAUAAAUUUUAGAAUUUCAAUAUUUUCAUAAUAGAACUUCAAUAUUAAAUUUAAACACAAAACUUAAUCACUUUGAAAAUAUAAUUUCAAGUUUAAAUUAUAAACCUCAAACGCUAAAUCUUAAAUCUACACCCUAAAUCUAAUACCCUAAACCCUAAACUUAAACUCUACAUACAAAAUCAUAAAUCUAAUCUUUUCAAACAUUUAAUAUAAAUUUCAAACUCAAACUCUAAGUAUAUUCUAAAACUCAAAACCAUAUACUUAAUAAAAUAUGCUUAACCUAAACCCAAAACCAUUAAAAAUCAGCAGUCUUUACAUCAUUAUUUAUAAAUUUAAAUCUAAUCAUUUUGUUAAUAUUAUAUAAUUAGAUUAUAAAUUCAAAUGAAUAACUAUUGUUAUAUAAAUA